CCUCCGGGCUUCUUCCUUCCUUCCUCUUUCUCCCUUUCCUAUACUCUUAACCAUCCAAUUAUCUUUAAUGAUGACUUCUCUAUUUUUUUUAAACUUCUUUUAUAAAGGAAUAAAACGAGGCACGUGGGCCUUUUUGCAUGUACUUUAUGAAUAAGGAUCGGCUAACUCCGUGCCAGCAGCCGCGGUAAUACGGAGGAUCCGAGCGUUAUCCGGAUUUAUUGGGUUUAAAGGGAGCGUAGAUGGGUUGUUAAGUCAGUUGUGAAAGUUUGCGGCUCAACCGUAAAAUUGCAAUUGAUACUGGCAGUCUUGAGUACAGGAGAGGUAGGCGGAAUUCGUGGUGUAGCGGUGAAAUGCUUAGAUAUCACGAAGAACCCCGAUUGCGAAGGCAACUUACUAGACUGUGACUGACAUUGAUGCUCGAAAGUGUGGGUAUCAAACAGGAUUAGAUACCCUGGUAGUC
This 460-nucleotide ribosomal RNA is filed under the name uncultured bacterium. Its description in RNAcentral is "partial 16S ribosomal RNA". It matches the Rfam family "Bacterial small subunit ribosomal RNA", at positions 397 to 795 of the family's 1533-position model. The record is from RNAcentral.